AUUAAAAGUAUUGUCAGAACUGUGCCAAUCUUUACUUGAACAUCCACAAUGUUAUUUUUUUAAUCAUUUGUUAAUAAUAAUUUUUUUAUAAAGCAGUGGUUGUUGCAAGAUUUUUGGCAAAGGUCAAAUGUUGUUCAUAGUUUUAUAUCAUCUAUUUAAUUCCAAUGCUAUUUGACACACAGUGGGUUUAUAGUUAAAUCAUGCAUAUGACAUACAGUGGGUUAAUAGUUGACGCUUGCAUAUUUUACCAAAGUGUUAUAUAUGAAUAGCAUUUACUGACCAUUGAUUUGUAGGUAAAACAGUAGUUUUGUUUAAUAUUUACCAGCUGAAGAGUUUUGUUUUGAUGAUUUAAAAGAUCUUUAUUGGGGGGUUAGAAAUUGUAUGUUUCAUUUAAAAGAUCUUUAUUGGGGGGUUAGAAAUUGUAUGUUUCAUUUGAUGAUUCAAACUGAUAUUGGGUCAGAUAGUUAAUGUUUUGUUUGGUGAUUCAAACUGAUAUUGGGUCAGAUAGUUAAUGUUUUGUUUGAUGAUUCAAACUGAUAUUGGGUCAGAUAGUUAAUGUUUUGUUUGGUGAUUCAAACUGAAAUUGGGUUGGAUAGUUAAUGUUUUGUUUGGUGAUUCAAACUGAAAUUGGGUCAGAUAGUUAAUGUUUUGUUUGGUGAUUCAAACUAUUAUUAGGUCAGAAAUACUUAGUAGUAUUGUUUGUUUUAUGAUUCAUACAGUAAAUUAAUUGAGUUAGAUAUUUUAUGGACUGAAAAAACAAGAGAAAAUUAGAGCAUUACCAGCUACAGUUAACAUGGUUAAAAGACCAAUUAGUGCAUUCCAACAAGAAGUAUAUAAUAGGUGUCAAGAUUAAUUUUAUCAAUAACUAGUAUCCUUCAAGUUAUCUACUGUUAAGAUACAACUUUAAACAUGUUCACAGUUAUAAAAGGUAUGAAAUAAACAGCACAAUUUUCCGUCAGUUGACAAAUAUUUGUUUGUUCUGUCCUAGAUGUAUGCUAGGUGGUACUAAAUUAAUAUCCAUUGCCAUACUGAAUAAAUAUACAAUUUUCUUAAUACACUACAUUUUUCAAAAAUGAUUGAAUUUUAAUGUAUCUCUAAAAUGUAUAAUAUUGGCACAAAAUAGAUUUAAAAGCUGAAAAU
RNAcentral lists this long non-coding RNA (1140 nucleotides) under Mytilus galloprovincialis (Mediterranean mussel). Lineage: Eukaryota; Metazoa; Mollusca; Bivalvia; Mytilida; Mytilidae. The record is from RNAcentral.